GUACAGCAGCUGCAGUCACAGAGAUGACAGCAAGCUACUGCAGGUGACCUCCAGGAGCUGUAUUAUGGAUAGUUAUGGCAGCAGCAGUGUAGAAACCAGUGAUUGUGGGCUGCACACCCAGCAGUGUCAGGAAGACUGGACUCCAGGGCACAUGCGGAGCAACACAUAUCAGGGACAGCGGGAGGAAGGCGGCUUUCCACAGCAGAAUGUCCUGCAUUCUGUCUGUGGCUGUGACACUGCUGUGCUGUCAGUGUGGCCUUGUCCUGCAGCCAUAUGUGAAAGACCAAGAGCUCAAACCAGUACUGCAACAUAGAUGAGCUGCCCACCUCUGGAUUUCUUGGUACAUGAGAUCAAGCACAAAACGAAUACAAAGAACUCCUAUCCUUAUCCUCAACUGUCUGGAGAGGUUGGGAUGUUCUGAGAGAAGAUGAGCAUCAACAGGAACAUUCUUAAGGCAUGCCCCCCAUGAUGACAGCAAUUAGGAUAAACAUUAAACUAGAUUACCCUAUUUGCCAA
This is a non-coding RNA of Peromyscus maniculatus bairdii (prairie deer mouse), 516 nucleotides long. NCBI's taxonomy places the organism in Eukaryota, Metazoa, Chordata, Mammalia, Rodentia, Cricetidae. The record is from RefSeq and is a predicted model, not a curated record.